UACGUAGGCAGCAAGCGUUGUUCGGAGUUACUGGGCGUAAAGAGUAUGUAGGCGGUGUCCUAAGUUCGGUGUGAAAUCUCCCGGCUCAACUGGGAGGGUGCGCCGAAGACUGGGAUGCUGGAGUCUCGGAGAGGAACGCGGAAUUCCUGGUGUAGCGGUGAAAUGCGUAGAUAUCAGGAGGAACACCAGUGGUGUAGACGGCGUUCUGGACGAGUACUGACGCUGAGAUACGAAAGCGUGGGGAGCAAACAGG
This 253-nucleotide ribosomal RNA is filed under the name uncultured bacterium. RNAcentral describes it as "partial 16S ribosomal RNA". It matches the Rfam family "Bacterial small subunit ribosomal RNA", at positions 524 to 776 of the family's 1533-position model. The record is from RNAcentral. RNAcentral also lists the same sequence under 1 other name.